CCUACGGGUGGCUGCAGUCGAGAAUAUUUAGCAAUGGACGAAAGUCUGACUAUGCGACGCCGCGUGAAGGAUGAAGGUCUUCGGAUCGUAAACUUCUUUUGUCAGGGAAGAAUAUCCCGAUGGUAAUACCAUCGGGAUUGACGGUACCUGAUGAAUAAGCCACGGCCAACUCCGUGCCAGCAGCCGCGGUAAUACGGAGGUGGCAAGCGUUACUCGGAAUCAUUGGGUGUAAAGGGCAAGUAGGCGGUCUAUUAAGUGAGGGGUGAAAGCCUGCGACUCAAUCGCAGAAUUGCCUUUCAAACUGGUAGACUUGAGGGAGGAAGAGGAAAGCGGAAUUCGCGGUGUAAGGGUGAAAUCUGUAGAUAUCGCGAAGAACACCAGCGGCAAAGGCGGCUUUCUGGUCCUCUCCUGACGCUAAAUUGCGAAAGCUAGGGGAGCAA
This 440-nucleotide ribosomal RNA is filed under the name uncultured bacterium. RNAcentral's name for it is "bacterial SSU rRNA". It matches the Rfam family "Bacterial small subunit ribosomal RNA", at positions 338 to 771 of the family's 1533-position model. The record is from RNAcentral.